AUACAGUUAAUGUAAACAAUGAAAGUCAUGUACUAAUUGAAUAUUCAUAAUAUCUGCAUAGACAUUAACAAAAAUGCAGUAAAGUAUCUAUUGUGAUUCAGUUAUUUUCUUCAAAUCUGCAUGAGGUAUUGUGAUGAAAUGAUGAGUAGCAGCACAUUUUGACAUAUUUUUUUUACAAUUGGUCUGUAAAAGUACAUGUUUAUGGCUUUUCUAAAUAUUUGUUACUGAAGUUAAUGAAAUUAUAUGUAUUUUUUCUGUAUCGAGCUGGUAGCCCAGAAAAAAAUUAAUUCUGAGCACCAAUCAAAUACUAUCUCAUGCAAAUUUGACAACUGCUAUCUUAUGACUGUCCUAGAAAUUAUUGUAUGGGAAGAGGAAAUUAAAAAUGGUGGGUGUUGAUAUUUUUUAUACAACAACAACAUUGUUUUUUUUAUAAAUUCAUUUGGGAUUCUAAAAAAAAUAUUUCUCCACUCACAUAACUUUGUGGAACAGUCCUUCCAACCAUUUUACAGAUAUAAACAUAAAGCACAGCUUCAGUAUGAAUAAAAUGUAAUACAUUAAUUAGAAAACUAACAAGAUACAUUAACUAAUAAAUGCAUUCUGAAGUAAAGUAAAGCAAGUUAAUUAAAGUACAUGUACUCUCAAUAUAGAAAACAAAGUAAUCAAUACUUUUAAUAUUUUACAUUGUUUUGUAAAACUUCAAACUUAAAAGACAAGAGAGAAGUUGAAAUUGGGCACUGCACAUAAUAAAUAAAUAAUUC
Molecule: long non-coding RNA, 758 nt
Filed under: Mytilus galloprovincialis (Mediterranean mussel)
Lineage: Eukaryota; Metazoa; Mollusca; Bivalvia; Mytilida; Mytilidae
Source: RNAcentral